This 254-nucleotide ribosomal RNA is filed under the name uncultured bacterium. Its description in RNAcentral is "partial 16S ribosomal RNA". It matches the Rfam family "Bacterial small subunit ribosomal RNA", at positions 524 to 776 of the family's 1533-position model. The record is from RNAcentral.
UACGUAGGGUGCAAGCGUUGUCCGGAAUUAUUGGGCGUAAAGAGCUCGUAGGCGGUUUGUCGCGUCUGCUGUGAAAUCUGGGGGCUCAACCCCCCAGCCUGCAGUGGGUACGGGCAGACUAGAGUGCGGUAGGGGAGAUUGGAAUUCCUGGUGUAGCGGUGGAAUGCGCAGAUAUCAGGAGGAACACCGAUGGCGAAGGCAGGUCUCUGGGCCACUACUGACGCUGAGAAGCGAAAGCAUGGGGAGCGAACAGG